This 157-nucleotide small RNA is filed under the name Chelonoidis abingdonii (Abingdon island giant tortoise). Its description in RNAcentral is "TUC338 (ENSCABG00000008488.1)". Lineage: Eukaryota; Metazoa; Chordata; Testudines; Testudinidae. The record is from RNAcentral.
UAGACAGCUCUUGACACUGAAGUCUUCUGUUUAUUCACAGAACAGAUAUAACAUGAACAAUAGGCAAGCUUUCUUUACACUAUCCUAUCAAGGUGCCAUGACCCGGACUUGCUGGGACCAUGGGUAAAAGUUCAGUCUAGAGCAGGAGUCGGCAACC